ACUCCUACGGGAGGCAGCAGUGGGGAAUAUUGCACAAUGGGGGAAGCCCUGAUGCAGCCAUGCCGCGUGUGUGAAGAAGGCCUUCGGGUUGUAAAGCACUUUCAGUAGGGAGGAAGGUAGUGUAGUUAACACCUGCACUAUUUGACGUUACCUACAGAAGAAGCACCGGCUAACUCCGUGCCAGCAGCCGCGGUAAUACGGAGGGUGCGAGCGUUAAUCGGAAUUACUGGGCGUAAAGCGCAUGCAGGCGGCCUGUUAAGUCAGAUGUGAAAGCCCGGGGCUUAACCUCGGAAUUGCAUUUGAAACUGGCAGGCUAGAGUCUUGUAGAGGGGGGUAGAAUUUCAGGUGUAGCGGUGAAAUGCGUAGAGAUCUGAAGGAAUACCAGUGGCGAAGGCGGCCCCCUGGACAAAGACUGACGCUCAGAUGCGAAAGCGUGGGGAGCAAACAGGAUUAGAUACCCUGGUAGCACAGAG
RNAcentral lists this ribosomal RNA (473 nucleotides) under uncultured bacterium. RNAcentral's name for it is "bacterial SSU rRNA". It matches the Rfam family "Bacterial small subunit ribosomal RNA", at positions 335 to 799 of the family's 1533-position model. The record is from RNAcentral.